This 406-nucleotide ribosomal RNA is filed under the name uncultured bacterium. Its description in RNAcentral is "partial 16S ribosomal RNA". It matches the Rfam family "Bacterial small subunit ribosomal RNA", at positions 30 to 526 of the family's 1533-position model. The record is from RNAcentral.
AUUGAACGCUGGCGGCAGGCCUAACACAUGCAAGUCGAGCGAGCGGCGGACGGGUGAGUAAUGUCUGGGAAACUGCCCGAUGGAGGGGGAUAACUACUGGAAACGGUAGCUAAUACCGCAUACUAUCAGAUGAGCCCAGAUGGGAUUAGCUAGUAGGUGGGGUAAUGGCUCACCUAGGCGACGAUCCCUAGCUGGUCUGAGAGGAUGACCAGCCACACUGGGACUGAGACACGGCCCAGACUCCUACGGGAGGCAGCAGUGGGGAAUAUUGCACAAUGGGCGCAAGCCUGAUGCAGCCAUGCCGCGUGUAUGAAGAAGGCCUUAGGGUUGUAAAGUACUUUCAGCGGGGAGGCGUUACCCGCAGAAGAAGCACCGGCUAACUCCGUGCCAGCAGCCGCGGUAAUUC